This 253-nucleotide ribosomal RNA is filed under the name uncultured bacterium. RNAcentral's name for it is "partial 16S ribosomal RNA". It matches the Rfam family "Bacterial small subunit ribosomal RNA", at positions 524 to 776 of the family's 1533-position model. The record is from RNAcentral.
UACGUAGGGGGCAAGCGUUGUCCGGAUUUAUUGGGCGUAAAGAGCGUGUAGGCGGCCAGGUAGGUCCGUUGUGAAAACUCGAGGCUCAACCUCGAGACGCCGAUGGAAACCAUCUGGCUAGAGUCCGGAAGAGGCGAGUGGAAUUCCUGGUGUAGCGGUGGAAUGCGCAGAUAUCAGGAGGAACACCAAUAGCGAAGGCAGCUCGCUGGGACGUUACUGACACUGAGGCGCGAAAGCGUGGGGAGCGAACAGG